This 110-nucleotide ribosomal RNA is filed under the name Pteropus alecto (black flying fox). The record is from RNAcentral. Lineage: Eukaryota; Metazoa; Chordata; Mammalia; Chiroptera; Pteropodidae.
GUCUAUGGCCAUGCCACGCCCGACUGCAUCUGAUCUCGGAAGUUAAACAAGGUUGGGACUGGUUAGUAUUUGGAUGGGAGACCACCUAGGAAGACUGGUUGCUGUGGGCA